AGAUUGAACGCUGGCGGCAGGCCUAACACAUGCAAGUCGAGCGGUAGAGAGGUGCUUGCACCUCUUGAGAGCGGCGGACGGGUGAGUAAUGCCUAGGAAUCUGCCUAGUGGUGGGGGAUAACGUUCGGAAACGGACGCUAAUACCGCAUACGUCCUACGGGAGAAAGCGGGGGACCUUCGGGCCUCGCGCCAUUAGAUGAGCCUAGGUCGAUUAGCUAGUUGGUGAGUAUGGCUCACCGAGGCGACGACUCCGUAAGUGGUCUAGAGGAGGUAUGAUCAGUCAC
Molecule: ribosomal RNA, 284 nt
Filed under: uncultured soil bacterium
Lineage: Bacteria
Description: partial 16S ribosomal RNA
Rfam family: Bacterial small subunit ribosomal RNA
Source: RNAcentral